GAUGAACGCUGGCGGCGUGCUUAACACAUGCAAGUCGAACGGUGAAGGCGGAGUUUGCUCUGCUGGAACAGUGGCGCACGGGUGUGACACAUGUGAGCAAUCCGCUCCUGACUCUGGGAUACGCGCUGGACACGGCGUCUAAUACUGGAUACGAGCUGCGAAGGCAUCUUCAGCAGCUGGUAAGUCUUUCGGUGAGGGACGAGCUCGCGGCCUAUCAGCUUGUUGGUGAGGUAAUGGCCCACCAAGGCGUCGACGGGUAGCCGGCCUGAGAGGGUGACCGGCCACACUGGGACUGAGACACGGCCCAGACUCCUACGGGAGGCAGCAGUGGGGAAUAUUGCACAAUGGGCGAAAGCCUGAUGCAGCGACGCCGCGUGGGGGAUGACGGCCUUCGGGUUGUAAACCUCUUUUGGCAGGGAAGAAGCGAAAGUGACGGUACCUACAGAAGAAGCGCCGGCUAACUACGUG
Molecule: ribosomal RNA, 468 nt
Filed under: uncultured bacterium
Lineage: Bacteria
Description: partial 16S ribosomal RNA
Rfam family: Bacterial small subunit ribosomal RNA
Source: RNAcentral